This 524-nucleotide ribosomal RNA is filed under the name uncultured bacterium. RNAcentral's name for it is "bacterial SSU rRNA". It matches the Rfam family "Bacterial small subunit ribosomal RNA", at positions 777 to 1301 of the family's 1533-position model. The record is from RNAcentral.
AAUAGAUACCCAGGUAGUCCACGCCGUAAACGAUGAGUGCUAGGUGUUAGGGGGGUUUCCGCCCCUUAGUGCUGCAGCUAACGCAUUAAGCACUCCGCCUGGGGAGUACGGUCGCAAGACUGAAACUCAAAGGAAUUGACGGGGGCCCGCACAAGCGGUGGAGCAUGUGGUUUAAUUCGAAGCAACGCGAAGAACCUUACCAGGUCUUGACAUCCUGCUGACCGCCAUGGAGACAUGGCUUUCCCUUCGGGGGACAGCGGUGACAGGUGGUGCAUGGUUGUCGUCAGCUCGUGUCGUGAGAUGUUGGGUUAAGUCCCGCAACGAGCGCAACCCUUGUCCUUAGUUGCCAUCAUUCAGUUGGGCACUCUAAGGAGACUGCCGUACAAAUCGGAGGAAGGUGGGGAUGACGUCAAAUCAUCAUGCCCCUUAUGACCUGGGCUACACACGUGCUACAAUGGGCAGUCAAAGGGCUGCAACCCGGCAGGGGGANCGAAUCCCAAAAAGCUGCUCUCAGUUCGGAUUGC